GCUUCGGUGGCGAAGUUGGUUAACGUGCCUUCCUAACAUGAAGGAGGCCCAGGUUCAACUCCUGUCCGAAGUA
This is a non-coding RNA of Copidosoma floridanum, 73 nucleotides long. The record is from the annotation of a RefSeq genome assembly. NCBI's taxonomy places the organism in Eukaryota, Metazoa, Arthropoda, Insecta, Hymenoptera, Encyrtidae.